Molecule: unclassified non-coding RNA, 173 nt
Filed under: Glomeromycotina sp.
Lineage: Eukaryota; Fungi; Glomeromycota
Description: partial contains small subunit ribosomal RNA, internal transcribed spacer 1, and 5.8S ribosomal RNA
Rfam family: Eukaryotic small subunit ribosomal RNA (bases 1-47)
Source: RNAcentral
AAAGUCGUAACAAGGUUUCCGUAGGUGAACCUGCGGAAGGAUCAUUAAAAAAAUAUAUAUUCGAGAAUUAAUUUUCUCGGAUUAUUUGUAUUCAAAUCCCACUCUUGAUAAAUAUAUUAAUUAUAUAAAAAAAUAAAAAAAGAAAACUUUCAACAACGGAUCUCUUGGCUCUC